CAACAUGGGAAAGGAAAAGACUC
RNAcentral lists this non-coding RNA (23 nucleotides) under Cricetulus griseus (Chinese hamster). The record is from RNAcentral. Lineage: Eukaryota; Metazoa; Chordata; Mammalia; Rodentia; Cricetidae.